Long non-coding RNA from Pipra filicauda (Wire-tailed manakin), 1541 nucleotides. RefSeq lists it as uncharacterized. NCBI's taxonomy places the organism in Eukaryota, Metazoa, Chordata, Aves, Passeriformes, Pipridae. The transcript is spliced from 3 exons. The record is from RefSeq and is a predicted model, not a curated record.
GUGUCCUUCCCAGCAGGUUGGGGCUCACUGACAGCAGGCUCCCGGCUGCCAGCACGGCUGGUCCUGCUGUCGGUGGGCUGGGAAGCAGGCGGCUUCUCCACGGGCCUCUCCUCCCUGCGCGGGGAGCGCAGCAGGGCCGACAGCUCGUGCCGCAGCUGGUUCAGGUUGUUGGCGUCCUUCCAGUCAUCCUCGCAGAUGACCAAAGAUCCUCUACAACCACCCGGGAAUGAGCCAGUUACUGGUGAGCCAGGAGUGAGUGAGUGGGAAUUCACAUUCCUGGGAUUGCAGGAUGGAUCAGACAACAUUUUGCUGAUGGAGAAGCCAAGGUCUGCUAAGGCAUCAGGACAGAUCUGUUAGUGGCAAAACACCAGGCUAGAUACAGGACAAGGUAGAAGAAAGAUCCUUAACUUCAACUGAAAGCCAGAGGGAAGGCCAAGGCCAACAGAGGUAUUUUAUGAGCCAAUAAUGACACUGUCCAGAGUAAUGAGAUAUCAAAAACUACAAAGAAAAAAAAACCCAGCAGCUCCUAUUUGCUAUGGAAAUCUAUUGCUGCCAGAGCACACCGAGGAUACCUGCUCAUUUACAGGGCAACAAAGAUGUCUGGGCACUGAAUUCAAAGCAGAAUAUGCAUCACAUGUUUGGAGAGGAGUGGAAAGGGACUGACAGUCGGAAGAGAGCUAUGCAAAGCUGGAGGAAACAGUCUGCACUUCAUAAAUGAAGUGGUAAUUUUGGACAUGUCAUUUCAAACUGGGCAAGCCUGUUUCACACCAAAAACUUCUGUUAGCAGUUGCUAAUGCUCAGCAUCUCUCUGAAAAAACCACCCAUCCCCACGUCAUGAGCUGGCUCCUGAAAUGGAAAGCAUCCCCAGUACCCUGCCAGAGCCUCCAGAGAUGGCUGGGAAGAUUGUUCCCUGCCUUUGCUCGGGGUGUGACCAGCCCUGCAAACCUCCAGCUGAUUCAGAGCAGGCUCAGGGUGCUGGGCCAGGAACCUGCAUUUCCAGUUCGUGGUACCCGGCUCAGAUUUGUGCAGGGGAAGCUUUCACUGGAACCACCAGGAAUCACUUUUCAUCCUUGGAACACAGCAAGAUGUCCCCAGUUAUGAGAAAUAAAAUAAGGGUUUUUUUAUAUGUGAAGGUGUAAGGUAUCCAAGUUCCAAACUGGGUCUUUUUAAAUAUAAAGUUCCUAAAACUUUAAAUCUUUCUGGGCCACUUGGCAAAUUCUGAACAUAGGGGUUUCUUUUUCCUCUCUGGGCUAAGAACAAAGGAAAUCCAUCAUUUUUCACAGAGGACUCCUCACAGCCAACUGGAAGGAAGGGAAAGCCCCUUUUCGGAGAAAAAGAAACCUUUUUAGGCAAAACUGAAUAUAUUAAACUUAUCUGAAAAAGGGUGGGAUUUUGUAAAACUAUAAAAUGCAUGAGAUUUAAACCCAAGGGGUCUUUCACCCCGGAAACUUGGUGAGAGGAAGACCCAGCACACUGAAUAAAUUCUUCCUUGUUGAUACAGUUUCUUUGCUCCAUGAGUUUAUGCCAUCUUUCUAAAUUUA